RNAcentral lists this non-coding RNA (26 nucleotides) under Rattus norvegicus (Norway rat). Lineage: Eukaryota; Metazoa; Chordata; Mammalia; Rodentia; Muridae. The record is from RNAcentral.
UGGCGACUGUGAGGCUGAUCUGCAAU